RNAcentral lists this ribosomal RNA (465 nucleotides) under uncultured bacterium. RNAcentral describes it as "partial 16S ribosomal RNA". It matches the Rfam family "Bacterial small subunit ribosomal RNA", at positions 338 to 795 of the family's 1533-position model. The record is from RNAcentral.
CCUACGGGUGGCAGCAGUGGGGAAUAUUGCGCAAUGGGCGAAAGCCUGACGCAGCGACGCCGCGUGAGGGAUGAAGGUCUUCGGAUCGUAAACCUCUGUCAGCAGGGAAGAACGGUCACUGUGCUAAUCAGCAGUGAAUUGACGGUACCUGCAAAGGAAGCACCGGCUAACUCCGUGCCAGCAGCCGCGGUAAUACGGAGGGUGCGAGCGGUAAUCGGAAUUACUGGGGGUAAAGCGCUCGUAGGCGGUAUGUCAAGUCAAGGGGGAAAUCCCCGGGCUCAACGUGGGAACUGCCUUUGAAACGGGCAAACUGGAGUGUGCGAGAGGAUAGUGGAAUGCCAGGUGUAGGAGUGAAAUCCGUAGAUAUCUGGAGGAACAUCAGUGGCGAAGGCGACUAUCUGGCACAUAACUGACGCUGAGGAGCGAAAGCGUGGGUAGCAAACAGGAUUAGAUACCCGGGUAGUC